Molecule: ribosomal RNA, 494 nt
Filed under: uncultured bacterium
Lineage: Bacteria
Description: partial 16S ribosomal RNA
Rfam family: Bacterial small subunit ribosomal RNA
Source: RNAcentral
GACGAACGCUGGCGGCGUGCUUAACACAUGCAAGUCGAACGGAAAGGCCUGUCCUUCCUUGUGUUGGACGGGUACUCGAGUGGCGAACGGGUGAGUAACACGUGAGUGAUCUGCCCCCAACUUGGGUAUAAGCCUGGGAAACUGGGUCUAAUUCCCGAUAGGACUGCAGGGUGGUGCCUGUGGUGGAACACGAUUUUCUAGUGGUUGGGGAUGAGCUCGCUGCCUAUCAGCUUGUUGGUGGGGUAAUGGCCUACCAAGGCGGCGACGGGUAGCCGGCCUGAGAUGGUGGACGGCCACAUUGGGACUGAGAUACGGCCCAGACUCCUACGGGAGGCAGCAGUGGGGAAUAUUGCACAAUGAGCGGAAGCCUGAUGCAGCGACUCCGCGUGGGGGAUGACGGCCUUCGGGUUGUAAACUCCUUUCGACCGCGAGGAAGCCGCCUGGUUGGAAGGGUGGUGACGGUAGUGGUAGAAGAAGCACCGGCUAACUACGUG